Non-coding RNA from Benincasa hispida (wax gourd), 3429 nucleotides. Lineage: Eukaryota; Viridiplantae; Streptophyta; Magnoliopsida; Cucurbitales; Cucurbitaceae. The record is from RefSeq and is a predicted model, not a curated record.
UUGAUGUUAAUUAUGACAUAUCUAUCAAAUGUUUGUGGUCUAAACCAAAUCUUUUAAUUAUGAAACCAUCAGGCUGGUAUGAUGCACAUAUGUUUUAGCCUUUUAGGUUUGGAAGGUGCACCCCUUGCAUUGCUCCUCCAAAAAGUCCUACUUUCCCUAAUUGAUUCCAACAUUGAUUCCACAGCAAGUGUUAGUAUGAAGAAGAGGAAUUUGAAUCCCAGUUGCCCGUGCCAGAGUCUCAACUCUCAGAAGAUCACUUUGAGGAAGGAUUGAAUGGCCUUUUUCAAAAUUCAGCAGAAAAGAAGGGGCUAAUUUCAAAACCAGCAAAGUUCAUCCCUGUGUCUCCUUCACAAAUUCCAUCUAACCUCAGAUCAAUUGUAGAUAUUUGUGGUAUUCAACUAGGGCAAUAGCUUCCUCUUUGUUUGAGUAUAAGCUCUGGCUUUUCUGUGUUUUUAUUUCCCUUUGGGCUAUUUGGCAGCUUUAAUGUCUCAAGUAGGAAGCCUUUUCAGCCUUGUUUUUCUUCAGCAUGAAGGUAUUGGUUUUGAGGUUUUAUUUUCCAGAUAUUUGCUUCGCUGGCAGUGUGUGGUUGGUGUUUGGAGUCCUCAGAGUGUCUUCUUUGCUAUUUGUUGGCUAAGUUUGAAGUCUUUAUCGUGGGCUGCAGUGGUUUCUUUUCCAUCAUUUUGGUUCGCUCGAGUUGAUGAUCAAGUUCAAUUCUUAUUUUCUUUGGAAGGUGCUGUCAGCUGGUAACCUUCCAUGACUCUUAUGUAUUUGAGAAAGUGAGCCUGUAUAUUUAGCAAAGCUGGAUGGCAAGGAACUAAACAAUUCUUCCAUUACAAUGGCUGCUGUAGUUGGCUCUUUGUCAACAACCAAGUACUUUAACUUCAAUCCUCAAGUGACACACAGCUCCUUUGGAAGCCCUCUCAUGUUAGUGGUUUAAAGGUCAAAGCCAAGAUACUUUGAAAGUGCACUGCCAAACUUCUUUGUUUUGCCUUGGGGUAUGGCCUUCAAAACUAAGGCUUGUUUCUUUCAAUAGUUUUUAAUGAAAUUCAACCAUCAAUUCCCUGCCUAUUUUUGGACUGCUUUAUUUAUAAAUCUUGAAGUCGAAAUCACCAUUUUGCUAGUUGGUUGUAGCGAGGUUCGCCCUGCCCCUCACCUCAUUUCUGUUUUUCUAAAAGAAAGACGUAAAAUCCUUUGAGUGGGUGAAUAAGAGACCGAUCGAACGAGGAACAAUAAAAGAAGACGAAGUCGAUGAGCUAAAGCGUGUGAAAGAAAUGAAUUGGUUCGCUUUUUGGAGCGGCCCCAGAAGAUGAGAUUUAGACGUGAUUUGAAGAACAAUAAAGGGCAUAUAUCUGGAUCAUUGUCUUGUGGAGAGUGGAACUCUAAAAUUAAAUUGAAGAGAUAAUUUUAAGAUUAUCCAAAGAUGGUUCUUUGCAUAUAUGGGAUGUAGAUGACUUCAUGAGUAAAAAAGUAGGUUUCUUUAAUCUAGAACUUUGUUGUGGUUAAAUAACAUGAUAUUUUUUUCAAUGUGCACCAACGAUCAUGCACUGUCUUUGUAUAAUUGUUUAAUGAGAAGUUUUUUUUUCCUACUCUAUUAUUCGUUAUCUUAUUAUUUACACGGAUAUGUUGGUGGAGAAGAAAUGUUUGCAUCUGUUGAAUGUGUAAUAUAAAACAAUAAUGUGCAGGUUAUCAAAUCAAAGUUGGUGAAAUGGCUCUGAUAACAUGUGCUUGGGUCCAUGACCUCUUCAAUUAGUUAUUGUUAUGUGUAAGUUUGAUUUGGAUGGUUGACAUUGUAUUCUUGAGGUUCUUGGAGUUGGCAAUUCUAUAUUAUGAAGCUUUAAAUUCCAAACUAAUUAGCUUUAAUUUGUAACUAGGAUACAGUUUAUGGAAGAUCUAAUAGUUUUAGAUAGGCCAGAUCGAUUUGAUUCAUUGUAAUCCUAUUAGUUUGAGCUUAUAUGUAUUUCAUCCCAUAUCUUGACAGUUUACUGCUUAUAAAUUUUUACCUGGUGUUUUAGAAAAGAUCACAUUAGUAGAGUAUUUAUUAUAGCUAGGUAAGACUUGAAAAUAGAACUCACAAACUUCUUAAAGGGGUCCCACUAUGAUUUAUACUGAGUGGGAGUUAUACUGUCAUCAUCAUGUCUUCUAUUAGAAAAUUACUUAGAUUAUAUUGCAACUGUUUGUAUGAUUAAGUUUGUUUAUGUUUACUUGGUUUUUACACUAUAUCUUCUUUAGCGUUUUCAAUCGUGUUUUUUCGUCAUCCUAUGAUUGUGCUCUCUGUUGACUCAAGUUCAAACUAUAAGAAUUAUUGCUGUUAAAUGAAGUAGUUUGUGACAUCAUUUGGUGGCUUGGGCUAUGUAUUUUCGAUUGGGAAUGAAUUAUUGUGGUAUAUUCCUAGCUACUCUCUAUUUUCAAACUUUUUCCAGUUUGCAACCCUCCCUUUAUAAUCUUGCCUUCUACAUAGUUUUUUAUUUGGAGUUGUAAAUAUGAUAUAUUGUUUUCUUUGGUUAACUCAUGAUUAUUGAAUUUGGUAAUUUUUUGGUUCACUAUAGUAAAAUAUUGAUUAUCUUUUGUAGUUCAAUAUAGUAAAAACUUAUUUCUCAUUAAUUAAAUCUCUUGUUUUCUUUGAUUUAGAGCUCUUAAUUUAACUUUCGCAAUUUGAUGGGCUUUCAGGUUUCAAAGGAACGAGCUUUUUGCAUUAUUGAAUUAGAGGUACCCAUCUUGGUGCUGGUUGUAGGCUAAUCAAUUGUUUCUAUUCGGUUGGGUUUGUUCUUCUUCUUAGCAUGAUUGGGUUUUUUUCGUGACUAUCUUACCGUUAUGGUAGCUACUUCAUUUAUACAUGUAGUUUUGGGACUAUCCUGCAAUUACAUCAGCAGUUUCUAGAUUGUUUUAAGUUACUUUUGGUCAUGAAGGAAGUGUAGGUACAUGUAGGAUAUGUUCAUAGUUUCACGGGUGGAUUACAUACAAGUUAACUGCAGGAAAUUUUUAUGUAGUUAGACACUUAUUAGGUAGUUUUGAUAGUGAAAGUGUAAGUAUAAUGGUCAAAUUGUUGCUAAUGCUGCUGCUCUUCUGGGCGAGUGUGGCAUCAAGCUUCUCGAUGCUAUCAAGUAUCAACCCCAAUGUCGACUGUAACACCAUUAAAACGUGAGGAAAGUCAUGCAGCAACUGUAGUAGACGGCGUUGUAUAGAUGGAAUAUCGUCUAUUUGAAGACCCUUUUACUUGGGCUUAUGGUAUUAGAAUUUAAAUUGUUAUAUAUAUUAGUGUUUAAUUAAAAGGCAAAUAAGAUCCUUCUCUUCCAAAUCCUUAACAAACUGCUGCUUUGUAACUUGUAUGCUCUUGUUCUUCCAUGAGCAACAAAAAUUAGAUGUUGAUUGCUUCAAUUUUAGAGUUAAUUAAUCAUGUAUUCACUUUUGCAUUUGGUUACUAGAUUUACU